UACGUAGGUGGCAAGCGUUGUCCGGAAUUAUUGGGCGUAAAGCGCGCGCAGGCGGUUCCUUAAGUCUGAUGUGAAAGCCCACGGCUCAACCGUGGAGGGUCAUUGGAAACUGGGGAACUUGAGUACAGAAGAGAAGAGCGGAAUUCCACGUGUAGCGGUGAAAUGCGUAGAGAUGUGGAGGAACACCAGUGGCGAAGGCGGCUCUUUGGUCUGUAACUGACGCUGGGGCGCGAAAGCGUGGGGAGCGAACAGGAUUAGAUACCCUAGUAGU
Molecule: ribosomal RNA, 271 nt
Filed under: uncultured bacterium
Lineage: Bacteria
Description: partial 16S ribosomal RNA
Rfam family: Bacterial small subunit ribosomal RNA
Source: RNAcentral